Molecule: small nuclear RNA, 138 nt
Organism: Lutra lutra (Eurasian river otter)
Lineage: Eukaryota; Metazoa; Chordata; Mammalia; Carnivora; Mustelidae
Product: U4 spliceosomal RNA
Exons: 1
Source: RefSeq, a predicted model, not a curated record
AGCUUUGUGCAGUGGCAGUAUCGUAGCCAAUGAGGUUUAUCUGAGGCACGAUUAUUGCUAAUUAAAUUUAGCAUCAUUACUUCUGAGUCAGACUUUGGGUGUCACUGUUUGCUUCCUCUGCCCACCAUGGGCUGGAGG